Molecule: unclassified non-coding RNA, 240 nt
Filed under: soil metagenome
Description: partial contains 5.8S ribosomal RNA, internal transcribed spacer 2, and large subunit ribosomal RNA
Source: RNAcentral
AACUGAUACUACCUGCGGGAACCUGCGGAGGGAUCAUUAACGCGCCGUGGAGGUUGCCUUUAAAACAGGUCUGACCUUCCACCUGGCCACCCUUGUUUAUCUUUAACCUGUUGCUUUGGUGGGCCCGCUGCAAGGCCGCUGGAGAAUUUAAAAGUUUUCUGGCCCGUGCCCACCAAAGUCCUAGCGAACUCUUUGUUAAUUUUCUGCUGUCUGAGCAUUAAAAGAAACAAUUUUUAAAAC